Molecule: long non-coding RNA, 4523 nt
Organism: Gallus gallus (chicken)
Lineage: Eukaryota; Metazoa; Chordata; Aves; Galliformes; Phasianidae
Source: Ensembl
AGACAGACAGCAGGAGGUAUGAGGAAGCUUGGUGCCUCCCUACAUGGCCCCAUGGAUACCGCUGCUACUGCAGCACAGCGCAUCCUUCCUCUUUGCAGCUGCUUAAAAAAAGCUCUGACGACCAACUGAAGACACCAAGAAAUGAAUCAAGGCCUGCCUGGAAAAAGCUCAAACUGGGAGAGCAAAACCUUUUAGCAACAAGACUGAGAGGUUACUGGAUUACACCAUAUUGCCUUGAUUAUCUUCAAGAAAAAACAGCAUAAGAGGCUUCUUCAGCUUAACAUGGAGAGAUCCAAGAAGAACCAACAAGUGGGUGCCAAAACCAGACACAUUCAGGCAAGAACACCAAAUGAGCUCAAUCUGCAUCUCACCAUCGCCACACAUUUCUGAACCAAGACCAGAUGUCCUUCAGGAAGAAAUUCACGUCUUUGCUAACUACGUACACGCUUCUGCCAGUGGUGCCGUGUCAGGAGGAAGGUCAGCCCCUUCUGAUGUGAGGACACAGCCAGAAGGGUGAGAUGCAGCUGGGGAACAGAGCGGGGAGCAGAGGGGAGGACAAGGGGAGCUGUGUCUCUGCUGGGAGCUGUUGGAGGAGCUACUGUACUGCCAAGCAGGUGCCGUGCUUGCUGGGAAGCUGGCAAAGGUGCAGGGAUAACGGCAGCAGGCGCUGCUAUGAUGCUGUGUUGACAAGACGAUAAAGUGAGCAGAAUGUGAGCUGCCAGCCGCACCACCAGCAGCGUGUCCUUCAGCCCUGCUCACACACACUUACUGGAAGACGAUCACUCACCCUCAGGAUGCCGGGCACUGGGCCACACGUGCUUCCAACACUUUGUUUGGAUGGAUGUGAAACUCACUGCAGAGCCCACAGCAGCAUGUGGUCCAUCAUUCUGCUGCAAGGGACAUGGGGAGGUUUUGGUGCAGGGACUUUCAGAUGCCAGCAUCACAGACAGACUUUAAUGGAAGAGGAAAAAGAAAGAAAGCAUCUAUAAACAUAUCCAUAUUAAGGAUGAUAAAAAAUAGAUAUUGUUCAUCUGCAUGCUUCAUUAAGAAUGAAAAUGCAUCAAGGGUCGGGAGCCAUGCCAGCAAAACAAGGGGGCUUCUCAUAUUCCAGAAGAGCAGAGUUGUAUCCAAGCGGAGAAAAAGAGAUGCUGUGCUUGCACUUUGAGGCUGGAGAAAAGACAAGUCUAAUCAUUCUCCCUUUUAGCCUGAAUGUUGUUGCACUCGAGAGAUCAAGGUACAUAGAGAAAAAUACAUAAAGGAGGGGAUGUUAACCCCACACACUUUUGCCCAUUCCAAUAAUUCUUAAAACUCAUUAGGUUAGCUCCAUCUCUCUGUUGCUGGUAAUGAGGUUCAGAGUUUGUGUCGCUAUUGUAAUGGGUUAUUGAUCACCUCUCAGAGAACUUCAUCGUUUCUGCCAUCUGAAAAAAAAUCCCUGUAAUGAAUGCUAGUCCUGAUGAAUUUGAUUUUAAUUACAUACAAGUCUUGUUGCGCUUUCCCAAUGCUAAGCUUUCAUCUCUCCCCAGUAACAGCUUUAUUUUAAGCUUGCUUUCAACAGACGUCUGUGUUGGUCAUUUGGGCUGGGGAUUACAUUUUUCACCUGUUCUAGGAUUCUUGCGAAGAGCUAUUUUUUAAUCUGUAUUUUCUAAGAGAGGGAGCACGUGCCUGCGGAUGCAGAAAUAGCCUGCGUGAUGCCGCCAGCUGCAGAGCUGGGGAGCAUCCCCUGGCGUCCACCCGUCUGCUGCUGCUCUGAGAUCUGCCAUCCCCCAGUUCAGCCCCCAACACCACUGCUUUGUGGCAGGGAGCAGGACAAGGGGCAGAAGCCAUUGCCAGCUGCAGUCAGGGAGACACUGGUGUCCUUGGAUCUAGAGCAAGGUGCUGCAAGCACAGCAGCAGAAAUCAAUUCAGCACUGCAGGAAGAUGGGAACAAGCACAAUUACAGCAGGGGGAAAUCCCAAACAAAGUUUGCAGGCUCCUCCUUGCUCCCCAGGAGACUGCAGCUUGCUCUGCUGAAGUGAAGGUUUCCCACUACAAGAAGUCAAUAUUGUUUUAUUCUAAUUGCAUCCAAAUAUUUAUGCCAGACCUGUGAGCUGCCAACACGCUGACAAUAAGAGGAAAGGCAAAAGCUGUUUAACUGUUACAGAAUAAACCCAGAUGGGAUGAAUGAGUGUGCUGGGCAGGGUGGAUGCACGUUAAGCCAAUCGAAAAUUAUUUUUUUUGUCAGCUUAAUGGAAAAGCCAAAGGGCUUUUUGCUCUUGAGUGCCGCUGUGACUCUUCUUAUGUUUUAAAAUGCUGCAUAAUUACAUGCAUAAGCCCACUUCAUCACACAGUUUGAUUUAGGCCCAGAGCUGGCAGAAAGCAAGCAGGUAGCACAGCUCCCAGACAGGGCAUCAGCUUUGGGCAGGGCUGCAGAAAGCAGCAGAGCAGGAGGAGCUGUCAUGCGGCAGUGCAGACCGAUGGGCAGCGCUCCAUCAGCGAUGGCACAACCCAGGGCCAGGGAAGGUUCAGACAGUGCUCCAUGCUGGGGUGUUGGGGGCACACCUCACCAGUGCAGCAGGCUCUAAACAGAGGGCAACAGCUGAGGAACACACAUCGCUGCCCGUGCUGAAGGCUCACCUGCUCAUACGCUGCUCCGAAGCCAAAGUGCUCCUUUUAAGGCCAAAGCCCAUCAGGGCAGCCAUAAAUACCCAGCCAUGCUUUUCCAGCUGGGGCUGUGGCUGUGCUAUCAGCCAGAAAUAGCACAAGAAAAUCCUUUCCAUGCUUUGCUCCGUCUGCACGUCUUUGGUGUUUGCCCAGCAAGGCGAGACCAGAGACAAGGAGUGCCAGCUUAUCCACAUCAGCGAGACCUCCAGAAGGGUCAUUCCUGGCUCCAUAGAAUCAUUGAGGUCAGGAAAGACUACUAAGAUCAAGUCCAACCCUCAGCACAGAACCACCGUGCUGCUAAACCAUGCCCCUUGUUCCACGCAGCACUCCUCUUGUUGUACUUAUUGUGUUAGCUGCAAUCCAGCUCAGAAAACACAUAGAAGCCCCUUAACCUAUCAAAUCUGUAAGAGACAAAGGAUGUAUUUUAUAAAAAAAAAAAAAAAGUAAUCUUAGAGACAAUUUUUUUUUUAAUAGGAUAAUUGCAAUAAUUGUUGUCUUAAGCACGUGUCUGAUUCAUGCCAAAGGUGCUACCAACUCAUUCAUUCGGAGCAGAGACGUCUUUAAAUAACUCACAGAAUCUGAGCCUCACUUCUGCAGUACAAAUAUUUUAUGCCAAAUAAGAUCAUACAGUUAUGGGAUCACCAAAAAGAUAAUUAAGGUGCAGAUCUUCAUUGGAAAUAGCUGUUUUCAAGAAGUCAGAACUCACUUUUCUGAAGCUAUCUGGAUGGAUGCCUGCAAUAAGAAAUGGUGUUUACUGUACAUAAAGAUUAUAAUAUAAUAUCCACAGAGGAACAAACUAUCUGGCUGAACAAAGCAACACAGAAGAGGGGAAAUCAUUGUAAAUCUUCUACCAACCAGGACUGAGCAAAUAAUUCAUCAUGAAUAAUUUGGUCAACAAACGUAGCUUGGUUUUGUGCUCACGAGUCAUUUAUAAACCAGCUCUGAUUUCCUUGCUUUGCUUUUAGCCGUUUGACUUAAUGCAAUAAUUUCAUUCUUCUGCAAAUAAGAACCCCAGAGAUGGAUGGCGAGCACUCUCCAACAAAGCCACGUGUCUUGCUUUUCUUUGACUAGAAAAAAAAAACACCAGAAGGACUCUUUUUCCUUUCCUGAGUGGAGGCAUUUGCAAACAGAGCUCGGUGCUGCUGCGAAAGCGCUUUCCACGGGAGCAGCUCAUUGGCAGAGCACUCACCGAGGGCUGAAGGCUGUGCUGGGGGUCCACUGCAACCCAACGUUUUCCCUCUUUCCAGCAAUCUACUUUUAUUCAGCAAAGCUACGAGUUCUUACCUCAAUAAGGAGAUAUUUAUUUUUGAUUUUACAUGGGUUUUCCGUGCACAUUAUUGCAAUCAAAUUUAAUUCCCUUCUAGUUGAACUGGCACUUGUUUCAGGUUGAAGUGCUAUCAAAUAAUAGCCCCUUUCUGCUGAAGUGCACCAUAAAAGUCCACAUCAAGCCCUGUUUAAAGCGACUUUGCAUUCGCACUGCACCGCGCUGCCACCUCGGAGAAGAUGCACACACAGCCACUCUAAUGACAUCGUUAGACUUUAAAUUGGUUGAUUCAUUUCACAGCUACAUCACCAGAAUGAAAACGUCACUUUGUCAUAAUAUUGUUUUAACGAUCAUCAUUGCCCUGUGACUUACUGUUAUACCGAACACUAAAACUUCAAUUACAAAGGUCUUCUCUUAAUUAGCCAAUACACUGAUCAUUUCAUUUUAAUUUUAGGCCGUGAGUUAAAAGAGGCAUCUCUGCAAUGCUUUCAGUUUAUUUCAACAAACUGUACCGCAACGAUCAUCCAGGAGGCACAUAAAUCUCUGGUUUGAGUCCAUUUGCUAUCAUAUAGACAUAAAUGAAAUGUUAAUAGAACACUUAGGGCAAAAUAAAUUAAUU